AGAGUUUGAUCCUGGCUCAGAUUGAACGCUGGCGGCAUGCCUUACACAUGCAAGUCGAACGGUAACAGGUCUUUCGGGAUGCUGACGAGUGGCGAACGGGUGAGUAAUACAUCGGAACGUGCCUAGUAGUGGGGGAUAACUACUCGAAAGAGUGGCUAAUACCGCAUGAGAUCUAUGGAUGAAAGCAGGGGACCUUCGGGCCUUGUGCUACUAGAGCGGCCGAUGGCAGAUUAGGUAGUUGGUGGGAUAAAAGCUUACCAAGCCUACGAUCUGUAGCUGGUCUGAGAGGACGAUCAGCCACACUGGGACUGAGACACGGCCCAGACUCCUACGGGAGGCAGCAGUGGGGAAUUUUGGACAAUGGGGGAAACC
RNAcentral lists this ribosomal RNA (372 nucleotides) under Comamonas sp. R-28220. RNAcentral describes it as "bacterial SSU rRNA". It matches the Rfam family "Bacterial small subunit ribosomal RNA", at positions 8 to 382 of the family's 1533-position model. Lineage: Bacteria; Pseudomonadati; Pseudomonadota; Betaproteobacteria; Burkholderiales; Comamonadaceae. The record is from RNAcentral.